AAAACGACUCUCGGCAACGGAUAUCUUGGCUCUCGCAUCGAUGAAGAACGUAGCGAAAUGCGAUACUUGGUGUGAAUUGCAGAAUCCCGUGAACCAUCGAGUCUUUGAACGCAAGUUGCGCCCUAAGCCUUCUGGCCGAGGGCACGUCUGCCUGGGUGUCACAAA
Molecule: ribosomal RNA, 165 nt
Filed under: Alyssum repens
Lineage: Eukaryota; Viridiplantae; Streptophyta; Magnoliopsida; Brassicales; Brassicaceae
Also listed under: 1 other name
Description: 5.8S ribosomal RNA
Rfam family: 5.8S ribosomal RNA
About the family: 5.8S ribosomal RNA (5.8S rRNA) is a component of the large subunit of the eukaryotic ribosome. It is transcribed by RNA polymerase I as part of the 45S precursor that also contains 18S and 28S rRNA.
Source: RNAcentral